AGUAGUGAAAGACCCUCAAGACAGGGGCUGGGGGCCGGCAUCUGCUUUUAUAAUGACAGUGGGGCCCGUGCAGUGACUGUAUUCUACUAAACAGGCCUCGCUCACUGUAUAAUUGUAUCUCUAAUAGUUAAUUUUUAUGUAUAUACCGUAAUCGCAUAAUCAGCGCCUGUAUACUUACAACUACAAGCGCUCGGUAGGUAGCAGAGAGGAGGGAGGAGGCAGGCCAGGAGGACAGGC
Bufo bufo (common toad) is the source of this 237-nucleotide long non-coding RNA. RefSeq lists it as uncharacterized. The record is from RefSeq and is a predicted model, not a curated record. NCBI's taxonomy places the organism in Eukaryota, Metazoa, Chordata, Amphibia, Anura, Bufonidae. The transcript has 4 exons.